Panus rudis PR-1116 ss-1 is the source of this 114-nucleotide non-coding RNA. Lineage: Eukaryota; Fungi; Basidiomycota; Agaricomycetes; Polyporales; Panaceae. The record is from the annotation of a GenBank genome assembly.
GGUACCAUAGCCAAGUGGUUACGGCGACAGAUUAGAAUGAUGACUUCGUUGUAAGAGAUUUUCUAAGUUAUCUGUUCCUCUUUGAGGGCGCAGGUUCGAAUCCUGCUGGUAUCG